RNAcentral lists this ribosomal RNA (478 nucleotides) under uncultured bacterium. Its description in RNAcentral is "partial 16S ribosomal RNA". It matches the Rfam family "Bacterial small subunit ribosomal RNA", at positions 28 to 523 of the family's 1533-position model. The record is from RNAcentral.
GACGAACGCUGGCGGCGUGCUUAACACAUGCAAGUCGAACGGUAAGGCCCUUCGGGGUACACGAGUGGCGAACGGGUGAGUAACACGUGGGUGAUCUGCCCUGCACUUCGGGAUAAGCCUGGGAAACUGGGUCUAAUACCGGAUAGGACGCCGGCCUGCAUGGUCUGGGGUGGAAAGCGUUUGCGGUGUGGGCGGGGCCCGCGGCCUGUCAGCUUGUUGGUGGGGUGAUGGCCUACCAAGGGGACGACGGGUAGACGGCCUGGGGGGGUAACCGGCCACACGGGGACGGAGAUACGGCCCAGACUCCUACGGGAGGCAGCAGUGGGGAAUAUUGCACAAUGGUCGAAAGCCUGAGGCAGCGACGCCGCGUGAGGGAUGACGGCCUUCGGGUUGUAAACCUCUUUCAGCAUCGACGAAGCGAAAGUGACGGUAGGUGCAGAAGAAGGACCGGCCAACUACGUGCCAGCCGCCGCGGUAA